This 2787-nucleotide ribosomal RNA is filed under the name Escherichia coli. RNAcentral's name for it is "bacterial LSU rRNA". It matches the Rfam family "Bacterial large subunit ribosomal RNA". Lineage: Bacteria; Pseudomonadati; Pseudomonadota; Gammaproteobacteria; Enterobacterales; Enterobacteriaceae. The record is from RNAcentral.
AGCGUACACGGUGGAUGCCCUGGCAGUCAGAGGCGAUGAAGGACGUGCUAAUCUGCGAUAAGCGUCGGUAAGGUGAUAUGAACCGUUAUAACCGGCGAUUUCCGAAUGGGGAAACCCAGUGUGAUUCGUCACACUAUCAUUAACUGAAUCCAUAGGUUAAUGAGGCGAACCGGGGGAACUGAAACAUCUAAGUACCCCGAGGAAAAGAAAUCAACCGAGAUUCCCCCAGUAGCGGCGAGCGAACGGGGAGCAGCCCAGAGCCUGAAUCAGUGUGUGUGUUAGUGGAAGCGUCUGGAAAGGCGCGCGAUACAGGGUGACAGCCCCGUACACAAAAAUGCACAUACUGUGAGCUCGAUGAGUAGGGCGGGACACGUGGUAUCCUGUCUGAAUAUGGGGGGACCAUCCUCCAAGGCUAAAUACUCCUGACUGACCGAUAGUGAACCAGUACCGUGAGGGAAAGGCGAAAAGAACCCCGGCGAGGGGAGUGAAAAAGAACCUGAAACCGUGUACGUACAAGCAGUGGGAGCCUCUUUAUGGGGUGACUGCGUACCUUUUGUAUAAUGGGUCAGCGACUUAUAUUCUGUAGCAAGGUUAACCGAAUAGGGGAGCCGAAGGGAAACCGAGUCUUAACUGGGCGUUAAGUUGCAGGGUAUAGACCCGAAACCCGGUGAUCUAGCCAUGGGCAGGUUGAAGGUUGGGUAACACUAACUGGAGGACCGAACCGACUAAUGUUGAAAAAUUAGCGGAUGACUUGUGGCUGGGGGUGAAAGGCCAAUCAAACCGGGAGAUAGCUGGUUCUCCCCGAAAGCUAUUUAGGUAGCGCCUCGUGAAUUCAUCUCCGGGGGUAGAGCACUGUUUCGGCAAGGGGGUCAUCCCGACUUACCAACCCGAUGCAAACUGCGAAUACCGGAGAAUGUUAUCACGGGAGACACACGGCGGGUGCUAACGUCCGUCGUGAAGAGGGAAACAACCCAGACCGCCAGCUAAGGUCCCAAAGUCAUGGUUAAGUGGGAAACGAUGUGGGAAGGCCCAGACAGCCAGGAUGUUGGCUUAGAAGCAGCCAUCAUUUAAAGAAAGCGUAAUAGCUCACUGGUCGAGUCGGCCUGCGCGGAAGAUGUAACGGGGCUAAACCAUGCACCGAAGCUGCGGCAGCGACACUAUGUGUUGUUGGGUAGGGGAGCGUUCUGUAAGCCUGUGAAGGUGUGCUGUGAGGUAUGCUGGAGGUAUCAGAAGUGCGAAUGCUGACAUAAGUAACGAUAAAGCGGGUGAAAAGCCCGCUCGCCGGAAGACCAAGGGUUCCUGUCCAACGUUAAUCGGGGCAGGGUGAGUCGACCCCUAAGGCGAGGCCGAAAGGCGUAGUCGAUGGGAAACAGGUUAAUAUUCCUGUACUUGGUGUUACUGCGAAGGGGGGACGGAGAAGGCUAUGUUGGCCGGGCGACGGUUGUCCCGGUUUAAGCGUGUAGGCUGGUUUUCCAGGCAAAUCCGGAAAAUCAAGGCUGAGGCGUGAUGACGAGGCACUACGGUGCUGAAGCAACAAAUGCCCUGCUUCCAGGAAAAGCCUCUAAGCAUCAGGUAACAUCAAAUCGUACCCCAAACCGACACAGGUGGUCAGGUAGAGAAUACCAAGGCGCUUGAGAGAACUCGGGUGAAGGAACUAGGCAAAAUGGUGCCGUAACUUCGGGAGAAGGCACGCUGAUAUGUAGGUGAAGUCCCUUGCGGAUGGAGCUGAAAUCAGUCGAAGAUACCAGCUGGCUGCAACUGUUUAUUAAAAACACAGCACUGUGCAAACACGAAAGUGGACGUAUACGGUGUGACGCCUGCCCGGUGCCGGAAGGUUAAUUGAUGGGGUUAGCGGUAACGCGAAGCUCUUGAUCGAAGCCCCGGUAAACGGCGGCCGUAACUAUAACGGUCCUAAGGUAGCGAAAUUCCUUGUCGGGUAAGUUCCGACCUGCACGAAUGGCGUAAUGAUGGCCAGGCUGUCUCCACCCGAGACUCAGUGAAAUUGAACUCGCUGUGAAGAUGCAGUGUACCCGCGGCAAGACGGAAAGACCCCGUGAACCUUUACUAUAGCUUGACACUGAACAUUGAGCCUUGAUGUGUAGGAUAGGUGGGAGGCUUUGAAGUGUGGACGCCAGUCUGCAUGGAGCCGACCUUGAAAUACCACCCUUUAAUGUUUGAUGUUCUAACGUUGGCCCCUGAUCGGGGUUGCGGACAGUGUCUGGUGGGUAGUUUGACUGGGGCGGUCUCCUCCUAAAGAGUAACGGAGGAGCACGAAGGUUGGCUAAUCCUGGUCGGACAUCAGGAGGUUAGUGCAAUGGCAUAAGCCAGCUUGACUGCGAGCGUGACGGCGCGAGCAGGUGCGAAAGCAGGUCAUAGUGAUCCGGUGGUUCUGAAUGGAAGGGCCAUCGCUCAACGGAUAAAAGGUACUCCGGGGAUAACAGGCUGAUACCGCCCAAGAGUUCAUAUCGACGGCGGUGUUUGGCACCUCGAUGUCGGCUCAUCACAUCCUGGGGCUGAAGUAGGUCCCAAGGGUAUGGCUGUUCGCCAUUUAAAGUGGUACGCGAGCUGGGUUUAGAACGUCGUGAGACAGUUCGGUCCCUAUCUGCCGUGGGCGCUGGAGAACUGAGGGGGGCUGCUCCUAGUACGAGAGGACCGGAGUGGACGCAUCACUGGUGUUCGGGUUGUCAUGCCAAUGGCACUGCCCGGUAGCUAAAUGCGGAAGAGAUAAGUGCUGAAAGCAUCUAAGCACGAAACUUGCCCCGAGAUGAGUUCUCCCUGACUCCUUGA